This 273-nucleotide ribosomal RNA is filed under the name uncultured soil bacterium. Its description in RNAcentral is "partial 16S ribosomal RNA". It matches the Rfam family "Bacterial small subunit ribosomal RNA", at positions 26 to 285 of the family's 1533-position model. The record is from RNAcentral.
AGAAUCAACGCUGGCGGCGUGCCUAACACAUGCAAGUCGAACGCGACUGGGGACUUCGGUUCCCGGUUGAGUGGCGAACGGGUGAGUAACACGUGGGUGAUCUACCUUCGAGUGGGGGAUAACGUUCCGAAAGGAACGCUAAUACCGCAUGACGUUCUGGGUUUGAAGACCUGGAAACCAAAGCCGGGGACCGCAAGGCCUGGCGCUUGGAGAGGAGCCCGCGUCCGAUUAGCUAGUUGGCGGGGUAACGGCCCACCAAGGCGACGAUCGGUA